RNAcentral lists this ribosomal RNA (528 nucleotides) under Staphylococcus epidermidis. RNAcentral's name for it is "bacterial LSU rRNA". It matches the Rfam family "Bacterial large subunit ribosomal RNA", at positions 731 to 1262 of the family's 2925-position model. Lineage: Bacteria; Bacillati; Bacillota; Bacilli; Caryophanales; Staphylococcaceae. The record is from RNAcentral.
UACCCUUGGUCAGGUUGAAGUUCAGGUAACACUGAAUGGAGGACCGAACCGACUUACGUUGAAAAGUGAGCGGAUGAACUGAGGGUAGCGGAGAAAUUCCAAUCGAACUUGGAGAUAGCUGGUUCUCUCCGAAAUAGCUUUAGGGCUAGCCUCAAGUGAUGAUUAUUGGAGGUAGAGCACUGUUUGGACGAGGGGCCCCUCUCGGGUUACCGAAUUCAGACAAACUCCGAAUGCCAAUUAAUUUAACUUGGGAGUCAGAACAUGGGUGAUAAGGUCCGUGUUCGAAAGGGAAACAGCCCAGACCACCAGCUAAGGUCCCAAAAUAUAUGUUAAGUGGAAAAGGAUGUGGCGUUGCCCAGACAACUAGGAUGUUGGCUUAGAAGCAGCCAUCAUUUAAAGAGUGCGUAAUAGCUCACUAGUCGAGUGACACUGCGCCGAAAAUGUACCGGGGCUAAACAUAUUACCGAAGCUGUGGAUUGUCCUUUGGACAAUGGUAGGAGAGCGUUCUAAGGGCGUCGAAGCAUGAUC